GUGCUCACUUUGGCAGCACAUAUUCUAAAACUGGAAUGAUACGGAGAAUAUUAGCAUGGCCCCAGCUCAAGGAUGAUUCACAAAUUCAUGAAGUGUUCCCUAUUUUU
This is a small nuclear RNA of Molossus molossus (Pallas's mastiff bat), 107 nucleotides long. The record is from RefSeq and is a predicted model, not a curated record. Lineage: Eukaryota; Metazoa; Chordata; Mammalia; Chiroptera; Molossidae.